CAUGUCUGUAUGAGAGUUAUAUAAAGUCUGGCCUGCCCAUUGGGGUACUAAAAGGCCGCGGUAUUGUGACCGUGCGAAGGUAGCAUAAUCAUUAGUCUUUUAAUUGGAGGCUGGUAUGAAUGGUCGGACGAGAAGUAAGCUGUCUUUAUCUCAUAGAUUGAAUUUAACUUUUAAGUGAAAAGGCUUAAAUGGGUUAGAGGGACGAUAAGACCCUAUAAAGUUUAUACAUGGAGUUAAUCAAGAGUGAUUUGGAAUAGUAAAGUUCAUUAUUAGCAAGAUGUUUAGUUGGGGUGACUAGAAUAUAAGUUAUAUAACUGUUUUUUGUUUUAAUCAGAGAUAUCUGUUUGUAUGGUCCCUUUUUAGGAUUAGAGAGUAAAUUACUUUAGGGAUAACAGCGUAAUUUUUUUUAAGAGUUCUUAUCGACAAAAGAGUUUGCGACCUCGAUGUUGAAUUAAAAAUUUCUUUGUGGCGUAGCAGUUACAAGAGAAGGUCUGUUCGACCUUUAAAUUUUUACAUGAUUUGAGUUCAGACCGGCGUGAGCCA
RNAcentral lists this ribosomal RNA (543 nucleotides) under Cherax communis. Its description in RNAcentral is "partial 16S ribosomal RNA". It matches the Rfam family "Bacterial large subunit ribosomal RNA", at positions 1816 to 2628 of the family's 2925-position model. The record is from RNAcentral. Lineage: Eukaryota; Metazoa; Arthropoda; Malacostraca; Decapoda; Parastacidae.